GGGCCCUUAGCUCAGUUUGGUUAGAGCGCUCCGCUCAUAACGGAGUGGUCCGGGGUUCAAGUCCCUGAGGGCCCACCA
This 78-nucleotide transfer RNA is filed under the name Alphaproteobacteria bacterium. Its description in RNAcentral is "tRNA-Ile". It matches the Rfam family "tRNA". From Rfam's summary of the family: Transfer RNA (tRNA) molecules are approximately 80 nucleotides in length. Their secondary structure includes four short double-helical elements and three loops (D, anti-codon, and T loops). RNAcentral also lists the same sequence under 1 other name. The record is from RNAcentral. Lineage: Bacteria; Pseudomonadati; Pseudomonadota; Alphaproteobacteria.